GGUGGAAUUAGUUUAAUAGGUAAAAUGAUAUCUUGUGGCGAUAAUGUUCAGAGUUCGAGUCUCUGAUUCCACA
This 73-nucleotide transfer RNA is filed under the name Clavaria fumosa. RNAcentral describes it as "tRNA-His". It matches the Rfam family "tRNA". Rfam says of the family: Transfer RNA (tRNA) molecules are approximately 80 nucleotides in length. Their secondary structure includes four short double-helical elements and three loops (D, anti-codon, and T loops). Lineage: Eukaryota; Fungi; Basidiomycota; Agaricomycetes; Agaricales; Clavariaceae. The record is from RNAcentral.